UUCCAGACUCCUACGGGAGGCAGCAGUGAGGAAUAUUGGUCAAUGGCCGAGAGGCUGAACCAGCCAAGUCGCGUGAGGGAAGACGGCCCUACGGGUUGUAAACCUCUUUUGUCGGGGAGCAAAGCGAACCACGUGUGGUUCAUUGAGAGUACCCGAAGAAAAAGCAUCGGCUAACUCCGUGCCAGCAGCCGCGGUAAUACGGAGGAUGCGAGCGUUAUCCGGAUUUAUUGGGUUUAAAGGGUGCGUAGGCGGUCGGUUAAGUCAGGGGUAAAAUGGGGGGGCUCAACCCCGUCGAGCCGUUGAAACUGGCAGACUUGAGUUGGCGAGAAGUACGCGGAAUGCGCGGUGUAGCGGUGAAAUGCAUAGAUAUCGCGCAGAACUCCGAUUGCGAAGGCAGCGUACCGGCGCCAGACUGACGCUGAGGCACGAAAGCGUGGGGAUCGAACAGGAUUAGAUACCCCAGUA
This 465-nucleotide ribosomal RNA is filed under the name uncultured bacterium. RNAcentral describes it as "bacterial SSU rRNA". It matches the Rfam family "Bacterial small subunit ribosomal RNA", at positions 329 to 792 of the family's 1533-position model. The record is from RNAcentral.